RNAcentral lists this ribosomal RNA (440 nucleotides) under uncultured bacterium. Its description in RNAcentral is "partial 16S ribosomal RNA". It matches the Rfam family "Bacterial small subunit ribosomal RNA", at positions 338 to 795 of the family's 1533-position model. The record is from RNAcentral.
CCUACGGGGAGCAGCAGUGGGGGAUAUUGCACAAUGGGGGAAACCCUGAUGCAGCGACGCCGCGUGUGGGAAGACGGUCCUAUUGAUUGUAAACCACUGUCCCCAGGGACGAAGAUGACGGUACCUGGGGAGGAAGCUCCGGCUAACUACGUGCCAGCAGCCGCGGUAAUACGUAGGGAGCGAGCGUUGUUCGGAAUGACUGGGUGUAAAGGGAGCGUAGGCGGGGAUGCAAGUUGGGUGUCAAAACUACCGGCUCAACUGGUAGGCGCACUCAAAACUGCAGCUCUUGAGUGAAGUAGAGGCAGGCGGAAGUCCUAGUGUAGCGGUGAAAUGCGUAGAUAUUAGGAGGAACACCAGUGGCGAAGGCGGCCUGCUGGGCUUUUACUGACGCGGAGGCUCGAAAGUGUGGGGAGCAAACAGGAUUAGAUACCCGUGUAGUC